GAGUUUGAUCCUGGCUCAGGAUGAACGCUGGCGGCGUGCCUAAUACAUGCAAGUCGAGCGAACAGAUAAGGAGCUUGCUCCUUUGACGUUAGCGGCGGACGGGUGAGUAACACGUGGGUAACCUACCUAUAAGACUGGAAUAACUCCGGGAAACCGGGGCUAAUGCCGGAUAAUAUUUAGAACCGCAUGGUUCUAAAGUGAAAGAUGGUUUUGCUAUCACUUAUAGAUGGACCCGCGCCGUAUUAGCUAGUUGGCGGGGUAAUGGCUUACCAAGGCAACGAUACGUAGCCGACCUGAGAGGGUGAUCGGCCACACUGGAACUGAGACACGGUCCAGACUCCUACGGGAGGCAGCAGUAGGGAAUCUUCCGCAAUGGGCGAAAGCCUGACGGAGCAACGCCGCGUGAGUGAUGAAGGUCUUCGGAUCGUAAAACUCUGUUAUUAGGGAAGAACAAAUGUGUAAGUAACUGUGCACGUCUUGACGGUACCUAAUCAGAAAGCCACGGCUAACUACGUGCCA
RNAcentral lists this ribosomal RNA (519 nucleotides) under uncultured bacterium. Its description in RNAcentral is "bacterial SSU rRNA". It matches the Rfam family "Bacterial small subunit ribosomal RNA", at positions 9 to 510 of the family's 1533-position model. The record is from RNAcentral.